This 398-nucleotide ribosomal RNA is filed under the name uncultured bacterium. RNAcentral describes it as "bacterial SSU rRNA". It matches the Rfam family "Bacterial small subunit ribosomal RNA", at positions 361 to 776 of the family's 1533-position model. The record is from RNAcentral.
AUAUUGGACAAUGGGGGAAACCCUGAUCCAGCAAUGCCGCGUGUGUGAAGAAGGCCUUAGGGUUGUAAAGCACUUUCAGCAGGGAAGAUAAUGACGGUACCUGCAGAAGAAGCCCCGGCUAACUCCGUGCCAGCAGCCGCGGUAAGACGGAGGGGGCUAGCGUUGUUCGGAAUUACUGGGCGUAAAGCGCGCGUAGGCGGCCUGUCAAGUUGGGGGUGAAAGCCCGGAGCUCAACUCCGGAACUGCCUUCAAAACUGACAAGCUAGAGUUCGGAAGAGGAGAGUGGAAUACCCAGUGUAGAGGUGGAAUUCGUAGAUAUUGGGUAGAACACCAGUGGCGAAGGCGACUCUCUGGUCCGAUACUGACGCUGAGGUGCGAAAGCGUGGGGAGCAAACAGG